Molecule: long non-coding RNA, 1369 nt
Filed under: Callithrix jacchus (white-tufted-ear marmoset)
Lineage: Eukaryota; Metazoa; Chordata; Mammalia; Primates; Cebidae
Description: lncRNA (ENSCJAG00000078737.1)
Source: RNAcentral
AUUCACUGGAGGCAGCCACAACUAACGAGUGGGUGUUAAUGCUUGAGACUAAACGUCUCGCCUUCAAGCUACUUUGCUGGAGGUUCCCUUGGCCAUCUCCCGCUCUCUAAUGAUCAUCCCCGGGUCUCCCUGCAAUGUGUGGGUCUGGUUGCUGCUCCCUUCUUCCUGUUUUCUUCUACAUCUCCUUCUUCCUCUGUUCCUCCUUCAACUAUUUCUUUCCAUCUUUCUCAAUCCUGGCUUCUAGAACCAUCAAUGAUCCCAGAGAGGUGCUGGAACACCCAAGUCUCCUUUACCUGUCAGAGUUUGGACCUUGGAGCAGAAUCCUGAGAGGCUGUCCAGCCGCUGAGAGCUAGAUGAAAGGGUUACGUUUUUGGUUUGCUAUUUGGGUAAUUUGUUUGUUUGUUUCUUUUUUGAGACGGAGUUUCGUUCUUGUUACCCAGGCUGGAGUGCAAUGGCGCGAUCUCGGCUCACCUCAACCUCUGCCUCCUGGGUUCAGGCAGUUCUCCUGCCUCAGCCUCCUGAGUGGCUGGGAUUACAGGCAUGCACCACCAUGCCCAGCUAAUUUUUGUAUUUUUAGUAGAGAUGGGGUUUCACCAUGUUGACCAGGAUGGUCUUGGUCUCUUGACCUUGUGAUCCACCCGCCUCGGCCUCCCAAAGUGCUGGGAUUACAGGCAUGAGCCACCGCACCCAGCCCGGUAAUUUGUUUCCUAGAAACUUUUUAGUGCUUUUAUGUGUUCUUCCUCCUCUGCAUCCUCUUUGAGGGGAGGAAAAAAAGAAAGGAAAGUACAGCUAUUGAGAAUCGUAUUUUCGUAUUUCAUUUAUUCCUUAAGACAACUUUUCCAGGUACGGUCCCUUCCUCUGUUUUACAGAUAAGAGAACUGAGGCUCGGACAGAAAGAAUGACGUUACCGAAAGUGGCUUUGCUUCUGCCUUGCCAGCCCAUUGCGCACUGCCUGCCGUGGUUCCAGCCCUCGCUGCCUCUCUUGACUAGCGUAGACCUGCCAUUGCGCCAGGCUCCCAUCGCUGCCAUGACUGGAAGAGGAGGCUGGAUGAACAGCUCACAGGAGGAACAGAAGGGUCAGAAGAUGGAUGUGGAGUUUCCCCACCCAGAAAUGUCACCACCUGGCUGUGGGCUCCAGCCUCAGUUUCUCCAUCUGUAAAGGGAGGAUUGCGCUGGGGGAUCUCAGCAGCCCCUCCUGCUCCUGCUCCAAGGUGCUGCAGAACUCUUCUCUGGACCCCCACAUGGCUUUGCCUCUCAGGCCAGCCCUUGGAAGCGAUGCUGGGUGAGGCUUGGAGGGUUUCAGGAGGAAGGGUUUCUGUGUGACCCUUCCACCCCCUGGCAUGGCUGCAAUGGCUAAAACCGAGGUGCC